AUGUUAGAGUUAUUCUAGAUUUUUGAUAUGAGAUUUCAUAUUGUUUAUUGUUAUUUUCAAACUAUAUUACUAUAUUGGUAUAAAUGUGCAGAGAUUCUUACUGAACUGUAAAGCUCACCCCUUUCAAUUCUCUUUUCUUUUUAGAGUUGCAAGAUGCUCAUGAUUAGCUAUGCAUGGUUUGCGCUCGUGGAUAAAUAGAAGAAUAGAU
RNAcentral lists this long non-coding RNA (208 nucleotides) under Elaeis guineensis (African oil palm). RNAcentral's name for it is "long non-coding RNA (EGUI_LNC065601)". Lineage: Eukaryota; Viridiplantae; Streptophyta; Magnoliopsida; Arecales; Arecaceae. The record is from RNAcentral.